AUGACAUCGUCCCUCUGAUUGAUCUCCUUAGAACUGGACUCACCGUUUAUUACGUAACUUCCACACCAGGUCAUCUUCACGGAAAAGACGAUCUCAUCAUCCAAAUGUGUCUCUUACAUAUUAUUAUACUAACAUAAUUUCGUUUCCUCUUGUAUUUUUAUUAAUUUACUAAAUUAAUCUAAUUAAUUAAAGGAGACUCUAAACAAAACAUU
This 212-nucleotide long non-coding RNA is filed under the name Octopus vulgaris (common octopus). Lineage: Eukaryota; Metazoa; Mollusca; Cephalopoda; Octopoda; Octopodidae. The record is from RNAcentral.